ACAACUGAAGUUAGGGGAGAGGGAUGAGCUACGAUAGCCCAGUGAGUAGAAUAGGCAAAUAUAGGUGAUAAAACAUGCUCUCAUGGAAUGCAACACAUAAUCACAUAACCUCGGCCGGACGGAUCAAAACUCCCUCUAUCUCAUCUGGGGUACCUAAGUACCAUUUGCCUGGUCCCCGUAGGGCUGUUCCAGGUCUUUGUGUAUGUGCCUGGUCCCCGUAGGGCUGUUCCAGGUCUUUCCUCUGAGGGCUAAUGAAUCCUCACGAAGUCCGUGCCGUCUCACAUAAGCAAUGUACAAGGAGCCAUGCCAAG
This 311-nucleotide long non-coding RNA is filed under the name Manihot esculenta (cassava). RNAcentral's name for it is "long non-coding RNA (MESC_LNC010945)". The record is from RNAcentral. Lineage: Eukaryota; Viridiplantae; Streptophyta; Magnoliopsida; Malpighiales; Euphorbiaceae.